RNAcentral lists this unclassified non-coding RNA (477 nucleotides) under Hevea brasiliensis (rubber tree). Lineage: Eukaryota; Viridiplantae; Streptophyta; Magnoliopsida; Malpighiales; Euphorbiaceae. The record is from RNAcentral.
GAGGUGGAGGAGGAGGAGGAGGAGAAGCAGUGUAUCCAUCAAAGACAGCCACUGAAAAGAAGAAGAAGAAGAGAAAUAGAAGCAGAUGUACCUGGCUAGCUCUGGCUGCAUUUGCUCUCAAUGAUAAACUAGGUUGUGUUUGUGUAUCGGCUGUCUAAUUCUAAUGUGGCUAAUGGUGACUAAAAUGGGCUAAUGGUUAAUGGUCUUAAAUCUAAUUUAGAGUUCUUUUGGUGAUUUUUUGCAUUCACAUUUUUUUAUUUUUAAAAUCAUAUUUUACAAAAGUUGAAAAAUAAAUGUAACAUACUUAAUGAGUUUAUAAAAUUUAAAUUAUUUUAAGUUAUGAGUAAUGAGGUAUGAUUAAAUUAAAAUUAUAAUACAAUAGAAAAUUCAAAUUAUCACUUUAAUAUUAGAUUUGAUUAAAAAUAAAAUUCAUUUAAUGCAUUUUAAUGAUGAUUUUACUCUUGUAAGUAAUUUAAU